This 562-nucleotide long non-coding RNA is filed under the name Elaeis guineensis (African oil palm). RNAcentral describes it as "long non-coding RNA (EGUI_LNC005717)". Lineage: Eukaryota; Viridiplantae; Streptophyta; Magnoliopsida; Arecales; Arecaceae. The record is from RNAcentral.
UUCCUGGUAACGUCCUUCUUAUUCGUUGUUGAUGUUACGUAAUCUUGUAAUUCUAGCAUUAAAAAAUUUCUCUGUAUCAAUAUCAUGACAGACAUCGCAUUAUUUCCAAAUCACGAACGAUAACAUCAAGCUAUGAUCUGGACCGGACCAUGCAACAAUAUUGUUCAUAUGACUAGUUUAAUAGACGAGAAGGCCGGUAAAAUAAUAUUUAAGUUAUUAAAAAAAUUUAUCUGCUUCGUCUAUUCUGUUUAGAUUUCGUAAGAACCAGGAACGGUUGUUGUCAUAGCCUAAAUUAAGACGGACGCGUUAAGAUGGUGAUCUACCGAAUGUCACCCUACCGUGUAGUUCACGCGUCGCAGAUAAAAUUUAUGGGCCACGGUCCAUUCACUAGCAUGAUUCCCCCAGUGGAUGGUCUUUUUUUAUGAUAAAAUUCCUAUCAUCCUGUCCCGUAGUGUCACUUAGUUUCAACUCCGAACUUUUUUUUUCUUUUGGAAUUAAUUUGUACCAAGAAAAUUAUCCGGGAAAAUUAGUCAUACAAAAAAACAGAGGACUUGUUUGGUUG